CAAGGUGCAGUAUAAGAAAGAAAGAAAUGGAUUACUUUAAAAAAAAUGGAUGAAUAGUAAAAAUAUAUUUUUAAUGAAAUAGGAUUUAAAAGUAACUUAAUAGAAAUGAUUUAAUGAAUUGAGAUUCUAAAAUAUGUACACAUUGCCCGUCGCUCUUAUUUAAGGUAAGAUAAGUCGUAACAUAGUAGAUGUACCGGAAGGUGUAUCUGGAUAUAGAGUAAAUAGCUUAAAUUUAAAGUUUAUUUUUUACAUUAAUAAGAUAUUUUAUAAUUUUACUUUAAAUAAAGUUAUAAAAAAGGAUGAGUAAAAAUUUUUUAGUAUAUUACUGUGGGGGGGAGCCCAAAUUAAUAUUACUAGAAAUUAUAUUUAUUGUACCUUU
RNAcentral lists this ribosomal RNA (379 nucleotides) under Camarotoscena hoberlandti. RNAcentral's name for it is "partial small subunit ribosomal RNA". Lineage: Eukaryota; Metazoa; Arthropoda; Insecta; Hemiptera; Liviidae. The record is from RNAcentral.